This 468-nucleotide ribosomal RNA is filed under the name uncultured bacterium. Its description in RNAcentral is "partial 16S ribosomal RNA". It matches the Rfam family "Bacterial small subunit ribosomal RNA", at positions 28 to 507 of the family's 1533-position model. The record is from RNAcentral.
GACGAACGCUGGCGGCGUGCUUAACACAUGCAAGUCGAACGGAAAGGCCCUGCUUUUGUGGGGUGCUCGAGUGGCGAACGGGUGAGUAACACGUGAGUAACCUGCCCUUGACUUUGGGAUAACUUCAGGAAACUGGGGCUAAUACCGGAUAGGAGCUCCUGCUGCAUGGUGGGGGUUGGAAAGUUUCGGCGGUUGGGGAUGGACUCGCGGCUGAUCAGCUUGUUGGUGGGGUAGUGGCUUACCAAGGCUUUGACGGGUAGCCGGCCUGAGAGGGUGACCGGCCACAUUGGGACUGAGAUACGGCCCAGACUCCUACGGGAGGCAGCAGUGGGGAAUAUUGCACAAUGGGCGGAAGCCUGAUGCAGCAACGCCGCGUGCGGGAUGACGGCCUUCGGGUUGUAGGCCGCUUUCGCCUGUGACGAAGCGUGAGUGACGGUAAUGGGUAAAGAAGCACCGGCUAACUACGUG